Molecule: ribosomal RNA, 429 nt
Filed under: Bacillota bacterium
Lineage: Bacteria; Bacillati; Bacillota
Description: Firmicutes bacterium partial 16S ribosomal RNA
Rfam family: Bacterial small subunit ribosomal RNA
Source: RNAcentral
UGGGGAAUUUUGGACAAUGGGCGAAAGCCUGAUCCAGCAAUGCCGCGUGUGUGAAGAAGGCCUUCGGGUUGUAAAGCACUUUUGUCCGGAAAGAAAUGGCUCUGGUUAAUACCUGGGGUCGAUGACGGUACCGGAAGAAUAAGGACCGGCUAACUACGUGCCAGCAGCCGCGGUAAUACGUAGGGUCCAAGCGUUAAUCGGAAUUACUGGGCGUAAAGCGUGCGCAGGCGGUUGUGCAAGACCGAUGUGAAAUCCCCGAACUUAACUUGGGAAUUGCAUUGGUGACUGCACGGCUAGAGUGUGUCAGAGGGGGGUAGAAUUCCACGUGUAGCAGUGAAAUGCGGAGAGAUGUGGAGGAAUACCGAUGGCGAAGGCAGCCCCCUGGGAUAACACUGACGCGCAUGCACGAAAGCGUGGGGAGCAAACAGG